RNA transcript from Trematomus bernacchii (emerald rockcod), 3705 nucleotides. It is a transcript of the gene named general transcription factor IIIC, polypeptide 3, with no coding region annotated. The record is from RefSeq and is a predicted model, not a curated record. Lineage: Eukaryota; Metazoa; Chordata; Actinopteri; Perciformes; Nototheniidae. The transcript is spliced from 21 exons.
UCCGGGCGAUUUGUGUUUACUUUAGUCAGUAGCAAGUAUGGCUGUAUAGAGAGUUAGUUAGGAUGUUACAGGACACAUUUUGAUAAAGAAGAAUCUCCUGGGUCUUCAGCAGACAGACAUGUCUGGGUUCAGCGCGGAGCUCAUUGACUACCUGGAGGGGAGGAUAAGUUUUGAGGAGUUCGACAAGCGGAGAGAUGAGCGGAAAGCAAAGGAGUCGGAGGUACCUGCAGGUGUCGAGGAGGAUGCUCAGCCCUCCACCUCCUCCAUUAUCCCGGGAAAGAUAGAGGAGGGGGUCAGCCCGGGGGUCCAGCUGGCCUUCGCCUCCAUGCUGGAAGAAAAGCCAGAACCAGCAUCUUCAGAAGAGCCGGAGGAGGAGGAAGAGGAGGAGGAGGAGGAGGACAGCCUGAGCUACGUGGAUGAUGAAGAAGAUCAGGAUUACAAGGUGGAGAAAGAUGAGGGGGGCAAGAUGGAGAUGGACAUAGAGGAGGCGGCAGAGGUAGAGGAGGCAGAGAAGGGGCCAGGGGUGACAAUAGAAAGAAAACGAAAAGGCAGGAAGAAGAAGAAGAAGAGAGAGAUGGAUGAGGACGAAGACGUGACGGUGGGGGAUGUGUUUGCCCUGGAGAUGGAGCUGAACCGAGAAAACAAGAAGAUGAUGAAGGAGCGGCGUCAUCGCAGCAAGCUGCCCAGAGCUCUGAGAGGCCUGAUGGGAGAGGCCAACAUCCGCUACGCCCGAGGAGAGAAAGAGGACGCCAUCCUGAUGUGCAUGGAGAUCAUACGACAGGCUCCUCUGGCCUAUGAGCCCUUCUCCACCUUGGCCAUGAUCUACGAGGAUGAGGAGGACAUGGAGAAGGCGCUGCAGUUCGGUCUGAUCACGGCCCAUCUCAACCCCUCAGACUGCGAGGAGUGGGUCAGACUGGCCGAAAUGUCUCUGGAGCAGGACAACAUCCGACAGGCCAUCGUCUGCUACUCGAAGGCUAUUAAAUAUGACCCCACCAACGUACGCUACGUGUGGGAGCGCUCCAGCCUGCACAUGCGCCUGGGCGAACACAAACAGUGCAUGGACGGAUACCGCAGGAUCCUGUCCCUGCUGCCCAUGGAGGACGGGGAGCACUUCAUGCAGCUCUCCAAGGACAUGGCCAAGAGCUACUAUGAGAGUAAUGACUUGCCCUCAGCUCUGGGGGUAAUUGAGGAAGCUCUUGCGCGACACCCCGACCUGGUCAGCGAUGACUUCAUCAACAUGGCCGCCGAGCUCUUCAUUUCCAACCGGCAGUACAACAAGGCCCUGCAGGUGCUGGUCCAGUUUGCAGCUAUAGUUUUGGUCAGGGAUGAAUCCAACCCAGAUGUUGUAGAACCAAGGGAAGAAGAGAAGGAGGCAGAGAAGAUGACUGAGGAAGAAGCAAAUACGAAUGAAGAAUGUACAACAACUGUGAAGACUGUAGAGGAAAUAGCUGCAGAAGAGAACGGUGAAAUUCGGGAUGUCCAAGUACCAGACAGUGUCCCAGUGGACCUGAGGGCCAAGCUAAUGGUUUGCCUCAUUCACCUGCAUGUCAUCACACCCCUGGAGGGCCUGGUGUCGUCGCUGAUGGAGCAGAGUCAGGAGGAGAUCGGGGACUUGUACCUGGAUGUAGCUGAAGCCUACCUGGAGGAGGGCGAGUACAUGGCUGCUCUGCCUCUGCUGUCCGCCCUCGUCAUCUCCGAGAAGUACAACCUGGCCGUCGUCUGGCUCCGACACGCAGAGUGUCUGAAGGCGCUGGGCCACAUGGAGGUGGCGGCACAGAGCUACACUAAAGUGGUGGAUAUGGCCCCCCAGCACCUGGAGGCGCGGCUCUCCCUGGCCACCCUGCAGCAGCAGCUGGGCCGACCCGACUGCGCCCUCAAAGCUCUGGAGUCCAUGUACGACAGUGACACUCUGGCACAGGACUCUUCAGCCGCACAGAAGGAAUUGAAGCUGCUUCUCCAUCGCUCCACCCUGCUGAAGACCCAGGGACUCACACAGGACUACCUGGAUGCUAUGAUCACUAUGAUCUCCAUGCUGCUGAAGGUGUCCAUGCAGCGAGCUAAGGUGUGUGUGCGUUCUGUCACCUUGUCGGGGGAGAGUCACCUGAGACUGGUGAAGUCUAAAGACAUGGUGCCAGAGAUUGAUGAUCAUGAGGCUGCAUAUCUGGACAACACAGGUAAGACCAACGUCCUGUCCAGAGAGGACUGGUGGCAGCUGCUGGUGAGCUGCGUGCAGACGAUGAGCGAGGUGAAGCGCUACGAGGAGUCUGAGCUGCUGGUGGAGUCUGCCAUGGAGUUCUACUCCUUCUACGACAACAAGCCGCGGAGGAAGGAGCUGGAGUUCUUCGGCCUGUCCGCCACCAUCCUCGACCACAACUACUACAAAGCAUACAACUACAUCAGAUUGAUGUUGAUGGAAAAUCGGGAUCAGCCUCAGCUUUGGAAUAUUUUCAACCAGCUGACUAUCACCUCCCAACACCAGCGUCACCAUCGCUUCUGUCUGCGCCUCCUGCUGAAGCAUCCUGACAACCACGCCCUGUGUUUCCUGUGCGGUCACAACGCCAUGGUCUCCGGAAGCUUCAAACAUGCCCUAGGCCAGUAUGUCCAGGCCUUCCAGACUCACCCCGACACCCCCCUCCACAGCCUGUGUGUGGGCCUCACCUUCUUCCACAUGGCCUCUCAGAAAUAUGUGGCCAAACGCCAUGCGCUGGUGCUACAGGGUUUCUCCUUCCUGUGGCGGUAUGUGGAGCUGCGGGGAGUGUGUCAGGAGAGCAUGUACAACCUGGGCAGAGCGCUGCAUCAGAUGGGCCUCGCAUAUCUGGCUAUACAUUAUUAUCAAAAGGCACUGAAACUGCCUGCUCAGAAACUAGAGGGUAUCCCUGACGAUCAGGUGGAUCUGAGCAGAGAGAUCGCCUUCAACCUGUCUCUCAUCUACCAGGCCAGCGGGAACAUGAACAUGGCCCACCAGAUCAUCAAAACACACUGCGUUGUCUGAAAAAAGAAUAAAGAUAUUUAUCUAUCCUAGGUGGAAAUUGGGUUUUCUGAAGAAAUUUAUUUACACAUAAGAAAAAAGUAAAUAAAAAAAUGUCCAAAUUGUACUAAAAGGGAUUAAGACUGUUGGAUUAUUUGCCAAAUCCCUCCCUCUCCUCUCCCAAGCAUCUGCUUCCAUCAUAUUUCCCUCCCGGGUCACUGCACUGCAUCUAGGCCAGGCCAGAGGCGGGACAGCCUACUUAUGGAGGGGAGGGGCUUUCCCCAGCCACUGAAUAAUCAGGUAUAACGAUUCCAUAUUGUGAUAACCAGAAGGCGGCUGGUUGUAUUUCCCCCGGCAUGGCAGGGCGUCAGCUGCCCGGGAGCAGAGUGCGUGAAGCGGCGGAAACGGAGAGGCGGAUGUGGAGAGGUCCAGCCGAAUAAAUAAGAGAUGAACGCGUCCUUCUAUGCAGCCUGGCAUCAUGACGGAGAUUUUUCAGAGAAUGAGAUCGGAACUAUGAUUUAAAAACGGGAAUUACAUUGUUUUGUUUGGCUUGUUUGACCAGACUGGCUACCGAGGGGCAGCGUUUCUUCGCCCGGCCUCUGGAGCUCUGGAUCCCGCUUGGAAGCCGAUGAAGGGUCGGUGGUGCCCGGGCCGUAUGGAGGUCCUUCGCUCAUAAUCAUUCUGCAGGGCUUGCAUUCAGGUGUGGUCGUAGUCGACGUUUAACUCGGUGUAAAUAA